RNAcentral lists this ribosomal RNA (384 nucleotides) under Bifidobacteriaceae bacterium. RNAcentral's name for it is "bacterial SSU rRNA". It matches the Rfam family "Bacterial small subunit ribosomal RNA", at positions 1 to 381 of the family's 1533-position model. Lineage: Bacteria; Bacillati; Actinomycetota; Actinomycetes; Bifidobacteriales; Bifidobacteriaceae. The record is from RNAcentral.
UUGAUGGAGAGUUUGAUCCUGGCUCAGGACGAACGCUGGCGGCGUGCUUAACACAUGCAAGUCGAACGAUGAACCGGGCUUUCGGGCUUGGGGAUUAGUGGCGAACGGGUGAGUAACACGUGAGCAACCUGCCCCGGACUCCGGGAUAACUGCUGGAAACGGUAGCUAAUACGGGAUACGACCUCGCGCCGCAUGGCGCUUGGUGGAAAGGUUUUUUCCGGUUUGGGAUGGACUCGCGGCCUAUCAGCUUGUUGGCAGGGUGAUUGCCUACCAAGGCUUUGACGGGUAGCCGGCCUGAGAGGGCGACCGGCCACACUGGGACUGAGAUACGGCCCAGACUCCUACGGGAGGCAGCAGUGGGGAAUAUUGCACAAUGGGCGCAAG